Molecule: small nucleolar RNA, 121 nt
Organism: Lupinus angustifolius (narrow-leaved blue lupine)
Lineage: Eukaryota; Viridiplantae; Streptophyta; Magnoliopsida; Fabales; Fabaceae
Rfam family: Small nucleolar RNA snoR111
Source: Rfam
UAAAGAAUGGUAGAGUUUUUAACAGUGGCUCUUCUAUCGUUUUGAACAUUGAGGUAUAACAAUAUGGCUAGUCAUCGUUUCGGGCGUCAUUAUUGGCGUAUCGAUUGUUUCUCGUCUACAU